CAUUACCAAAAAAAACUGAAACCAAAUUUCGAUACCCUGGUAACCUGCCAGGACGGAAUCAAACGUUUGCCCGGGAGUUCGCGCUCCUCCGGCGGGUUUGGGCGUUUUAUGUACGCAUCUGAAGUCAUACGCUCCCUAUCGAUCCGUGCUGUGCUGGCUGGCGGUCGAGCCCCUGGUGCCUGAGGAGGCCCAGCCCGGUUCCUGACUGCACGAGCCCUAGCACGGUGUGGGUGCGUUAUCUACUCCUGCAACCCUAUGUUUACCUACCUUUGUUGCUUUGGCGGGCCGCGGCCUCCGCUGCGGGCUCACGCUCGCAUGUGCCCGCCAGAGGACCCAACUCUUGAUUUUUAGUGAUGUCUGAGCACUAUUAAAUAGUUAAAACUUUCAACAACGGAUCUCUUGGUUCUGGCAUCGAUGAAGAACGCAGCGAAAUGCGAUAAGUAAUGUGAAUUGCAGAAUUCAGUGAAUCAUCGAAUCUUUGAACGCACAUUGCGCCCGCUGGUAUUCCGGCGGGCAUGCCUGUUCGAGCGUCAUUUAUGACCAACUCACGCUCCGCGUGGUCUUGGGGUCCGCUGUCACGGCGGCCCUUAAACGCAGUGGCGGUGCCGUGCGGCUCUCAGCGUAGUAAUACAUCUCGCUACAGGGUCCGGACGGGAUUGGCCAGCAACCCCAACCUCUCUAGGUUG
Molecule: ribosomal RNA, 686 nt
Filed under: uncultured fungus
Lineage: Eukaryota; Fungi
Description: eukaryotic LSU rRNA
Rfam family: 5.8S ribosomal RNA (bases 380-533)
Source: RNAcentral